This 637-nucleotide long non-coding RNA is filed under the name Volvox carteri. RNAcentral's name for it is "long non-coding RNA (VCAR_LNC003425)". Lineage: Eukaryota; Viridiplantae; Chlorophyta; Chlorophyceae; Chlamydomonadales; Volvocaceae. The record is from RNAcentral.
GCAGCGGGAAGCAGACUUGCACCGAAGCCCUGGUAUACCGGAGUACACCACAGAGAACACAGCAAGCAAGUGCAUCUGAGGAUGCCCCCCUUCGUGCCAUCCCCAGCCGACACACUCCACCCCCUCGUGCUGCUCCUGUGGAGUGUCAUUUGGUGCACCCGUUGCAUGCUCUGUGGUACACCGGUGUACCCUCAAUUAUGUAGACCGACCCCGCCCCUCAGGCUCCCCCACCUGCUGUCUUACCGUGCACGGAAACCGUGGGCUGGGCAUGGCAGCUCGUCCUGCAGCCGACGGGGAUGGCACAGCAGCCGCCUCACCGCCACGGGCGUCCUCCUCCUGCAGGCCGCGUCACACAGAGUGAUGCACAGGAGGCAUGACACGUUCGCCAGGUUGAUCGACGGGCAGUCAUGGCAGCGGGAAGCAGACUUGCACCGAAGCCCAGGUGUACCGGAGUACACCACAGAGAACACAGCAAGCAAGUGCAUCUGAGGAUGCCCCCCUUCGUGCCAUCCCCAGCCGACACACUCCACCCCCUUGUGCUGCUCCUGUGGAGUGUCAUUUGGUGCACCCGUUGCAUGCUCUGUGGUACACCGGUGUACCCUCAAUUAUGUAGACCGACCCCGCCCCUCAGGCUCCC